AACCUAGCACACCUGCGGUGUGUACCUGCGGAGGGAUCAUUAUUGAUUUUUAAAGGGGUGCUGGCUCUUCUGGAGCAUAUACAGUGCACUCCUAACAAAAAGCCAAUAUCCACCUAUACACCUUUAAUAAACAAAAAAAAACCUUGCCCAAGGGCUUUUUUUGUCUAUGUUUUUGUUUUAUCAUAAACCCCUGAUCUAUUUGAAUGCUUAUACAAACAAAUCAUGUUUUGUAACACAACU
RNAcentral lists this unclassified non-coding RNA (240 nucleotides) under soil metagenome. RNAcentral's name for it is "partial contains 5.8S ribosomal RNA, internal transcribed spacer 2, and large subunit ribosomal RNA". The record is from RNAcentral.